RNAcentral lists this ribosomal RNA (442 nucleotides) under uncultured bacterium. Its description in RNAcentral is "partial 16S ribosomal RNA". It matches the Rfam family "Bacterial small subunit ribosomal RNA", at positions 338 to 795 of the family's 1533-position model. The record is from RNAcentral.
CCUACGGGUGACAGCAGUAGGGAAUCUUUCACAAUGGGCGAAAGCCUGAUGGAGCAACGCCGCGUGCAGGAUGAAGGCCUUCGGGUUGUAAACUGCUUUUAUAAGCGAGAAAUAUGAUGGUAACUUAUGAAUAAGGAUCGGCUAACUACGUGCCAGCAGCCGCGGUCAUACGUAGGAUCCGAGCAUUAUCCGGAGUGACUGGGUGUAAAGAGUUGCGUAGGUGGCAUAAUAAGUAGCUAGUGAAAUCUGGUGGCUCAACCAUUCAGACUAUUAGCUAAACUGUUAAGCUCGAGACCGUUAGGGGUAACUGGAAUUACUAGUGUAGGAGUGAAAUCCGUAGAUAUUAGAAGGAACACCAAUAGCGUAGGCAGGUUGCUGGGACGGUUCUGACACUAAGGCACGAAAGCGUAGGGAGCAAACGGGAUUAGAUACCCGAGUAGUC